GCUUACGGCCAAACCACCUUAGGCACGCCCGAUCUCGUCUGAUCUCGGAAGCUAAGCAGGGUCGGGCCUGGUUAGUACUUGGAUGGGUGACCGCCUGGGAAUACCAGGUGCUGUAAGCA
Molecule: ribosomal RNA, 119 nt
Organism: Gadus morhua (Atlantic cod)
Lineage: Eukaryota; Metazoa; Chordata; Actinopteri; Gadiformes; Gadidae
Source: Ensembl